Canis lupus familiaris (dog) is the source of this 254-nucleotide long non-coding RNA. RefSeq lists it as uncharacterized. NCBI's taxonomy places the organism in Eukaryota, Metazoa, Chordata, Mammalia, Carnivora, Canidae. The record is from RefSeq and is a predicted model, not a curated record. The transcript is spliced from 3 exons.
UUCAGUAUAUCUGGUGUCCUUAUGAGACAGGUAGAAUGUCAGUUGAAUACAAGGCCCCCCUCUUACAGGAUAAUUGACAAGAAUCAAUACAUCAGAAUUGGAUCCAUGUUCAAGUUGUGAUCUUCAGCUCAGCAGAAUAGAGUCAAUCGGAUAGAUGGUGUUCAGAGGACCCUGCAAUUCUUUGAUAUCUUUUUUCCCAUACUGAGUCCAUUUCAAAGUCUCCCAGUCCCUACAACAUGAAGCCUAAUUUUGCC